This 945-nucleotide ribosomal RNA is filed under the name Pseudomonas brassicacearum. RNAcentral's name for it is "bacterial SSU rRNA". It matches the Rfam family "Bacterial small subunit ribosomal RNA", at positions 34 to 974 of the family's 1533-position model. Lineage: Bacteria; Pseudomonadati; Pseudomonadota; Gammaproteobacteria; Pseudomonadales; Pseudomonadaceae. The record is from RNAcentral.
CGCUGGCGGCAGGCCUAACACAUGCAAGUCGAGCGGUAGAGAGGUGCUUGCACCUCUUGAGAGCGGCGGACGGGUGAGUAAUGCCUAGGAAUCUGCCUGGUAGUGGGGGAUAACGCUCGGAAACGGACGCUAAUACCGCAUACGUCCUACGGGAGAAAGCAGGGGACCUUCGGGCCUUGCGCUAUCAGAUGAGCCUAGGUCGGAUUAGCUAGUUGGUGGGGUAAUGGCUCACCAAGGCGACGAUCCGUAACUGGUCUGAGAGGAUGAUCAGUCACACUGGAACUGAGACACGGUCCAGACUCCUACGGGAGGCAGCAGUGGGGAAUAUUGGACAAUGGGCGAAAGCCUGAUCCAGCCAUGCCGCGUGUGUGAAGAAGGUCUUCGGAUUGUAAAGCACUUUAAGUUGGGAGGAAGGGCAUUAACCUAAUACGUUAGUGUUUUGACGUUACCGACAGAAUAAGCACCGGCUAACUCUGUGCCAGCAGCCGCGGUAAUACAGAGGGUGCAAGCGUUAAUCGGAAUUACUGGGCGUAAAGCGCGCGUAGGUGGUUCGUUAAGUUGGAUGUGAAAUCCCCGGGCUCAACCUGGGAACUGCAUUCAAAACUGUCGAGCUAGAGUAUGGUAGAGGGUGGUGGAAUUUCCUGUGUAGCGGUGAAAUGCGUAGAUAUAGGAAGGAACACCAGUGGCGAAGGCGACCACCUGGACUGAUACUGACACUGAGGUGCGAAAGCGUGGGGAGCAAACAGGAUUAGAUACCCUGGUAGUCCACGCCGUAAACGAUGUCAACUAGCCGUUGGGAGCCUUGAGCUCUUAGUGGCGCACGUAACGCAUUAAGUUGACCGCCUGGGGAGUACGGCCGCAAGGUUAAAACUCAAAUGAAUUGACGGGGGCCCGCACAAGCGGUGGACGAUGUGGUUUAAUUCGAAGCAACGCGAAGAACCUUAC